GACGAACGCUGGCGGCGUGCCUAAUACAUGCAAGUAGAACGCUGAAGAGAGGAGCUUGCUCUUCUUGGGUGAGUUGCGCACGGGUGAGUAACGCGUAGGUAACCUGCCUUGUAGCGGGGGAUAACUAUUGGAAACGAUAGCUAAUACCGCAUAACAAUGGAUGACACAUGUCAUUUAUUUGAAAGGGGCAAUUGCUCCACUACAAGAUGGACCUGCGUUGUUUUAGCUAGUAGGUGAGGUAACGGCUCAUCUAGGCGACGUUACGUAGCCGACCUGAGAGGGUGAGUGGCCAGCCUGGGACGGAGACCGGCCCCAGAGGCAUACGGGAGGCGGCAAUACGGCUUCUUCGGGCAGCGGUGCAAAACUGUGCGAGCUACGCCGCGUCAGUGAAGAGCGUUUUCGGAUCGUAAAGGUCGGUUGUAAGUUAAGAACGAGUGUGAGAGUGGAACGUUCACUCUGUGACGGUAGCUGAUCAGAAAGGGACGGCUAACUACGUG
This 497-nucleotide ribosomal RNA is filed under the name uncultured bacterium. Its description in RNAcentral is "partial 16S ribosomal RNA". It matches the Rfam family "Bacterial small subunit ribosomal RNA", at positions 28 to 507 of the family's 1533-position model. The record is from RNAcentral.